GAGUUUGAUCCUGGCUCAGGAUAAACGCUGGCGGCGUGCCUAACACAUGCAAGUCGAACGAGAAUCUGAUGACGGAGUUUUCGGACAACUGAAUCAGAGGACAGUGGCGGACGGGUGAGUAAUGCGUGAGCAACCUGCCCUUCAGAGGGGGACAACAGUUGGAAACGACUGCUAAUACCGCAUAAUGUACUUGGGAGGCAUCUCCCGGGUACCAAAGAUUUUAUCGCUGAAGGAUGGGCUCACGUCUGAUUAGCUGGUUGGUAAGGUAACGGCCUACCAAGGCGACGAUCAGUAGCCGGACUGAGAGGUU
This 310-nucleotide ribosomal RNA is filed under the name uncultured bacterium. RNAcentral's name for it is "bacterial SSU rRNA". It matches the Rfam family "Bacterial small subunit ribosomal RNA", at positions 9 to 301 of the family's 1533-position model. The record is from RNAcentral.